Molecule: long non-coding RNA, 780 nt
Organism: Triticum aestivum (bread wheat)
Lineage: Eukaryota; Viridiplantae; Streptophyta; Magnoliopsida; Poales; Poaceae
Exons: 4
Source: RefSeq, a predicted model, not a curated record
CGAAGCUAAUUCCCUGGCUCGGGCAGGCUUUGCUGCAUGCAUGGCUUCCAAGCCGACGCCUUGAGAGAUUUGUGUGACCGGAGUUAAUCAGUAGGCGAAUCGGUCCGGGGCUUUGCGAGACCACCAGUGCAGGCGGUGCAACGAUCGGUUAGUUCGUUGGUACCAGCGACCAAGACAUGCAGCUCUACAUCGUGGUCACCAGGCUGGCCUGCAUCGCCUUCUCCACUGCCGCGUUUGUGCUCGCCAUGGCUGCGCCGGUCAGCCGCCAGUUCUGGUUUGUCGUGCAUGCAAACUGAAGGGCAGUAUGCUGACGCUAAUGAGUUGGACCUCGAUGCGGAUCGUGUACCAGGCCAUUUGCUUCUACUUUGGAGCACUCAACCUUGAUUGCAUUGCCCCCAUCUUAUUCAAUGACUCGCUGGUGAUGCUCCUCGCAUAUGGCGCGAGCUGUGCUGGAACUGCAUCUGUUUUCUUCCUGCAUCACUUUCUGCACUGUCAGCGUCUGCCGUUGAUGACCUGCCCGAUGUACUUCGCUUCCUCGGUGCUAGGCCUCGUUGCCGUCUUGUUCAACGCCGCCACUACGCUUCGGUUGCUUUGGGCAAGGUGUUCUCGCCACCACGAGGACUAGGUUUCACACACUUGCAGUCUCUAUCCACCAUCCACGUAUGCGUAUGCCAGUAGUGGUUACCCUAAUUAAUUACGUGUGGUGCGUAUAUAUAGCAUCUGUUCUUCCCAGUGUGACCGACUGUAUCUCUUUGCAAAGACUGCUUCAUGAUUCAUGUA